Molecule: ribosomal RNA, 437 nt
Filed under: uncultured bacterium
Lineage: Bacteria
Description: bacterial SSU rRNA
Rfam family: Bacterial small subunit ribosomal RNA
Source: RNAcentral
AACGCGAAGAACCUUACCAAGGCUUGACAUGGACCGGACCGCCGCAGAAAUGUGGUUUCUCCUUUUGGGGCCGGUUCACAGGUGGUGCAUGGUUGUCGUCAGCUCGUGUCGUGAGAUGUUGGGUUAAGUCCCGCAACGAGCGCAACCCUCGUUCCAUGUUGCCAGCACUUAGGGUGGGGACUCAUGGGAGACUGCCGGGGUCAACUCGGAGGAAGGUGGGGACGACGUCAAAUCAUCAUGCCCCUUAUGUCUUGGGCUUCACGCAUGCUACAAUGGCCGGUACAAAGGGUUGCGAUACUGUGAGGUGGAGCUAAUCCCAAAAAGCCGGUCUCAGUUCGGAUUGGGGUCUGCAACUCGACCCCAUGAAGUCGGAGUCGCUAGUAAUCGCAGAUCAGCAACGCUGCGGUGAAUACGUUCCCGGGCCUUGUACACACCGA